GCCGCUUUAGCUCAGUUGGUAGAGCAACUGAUUUGUAAUCAGUAGGUCGCUGGUUCGACUCCGGCAAGCGGCU
Molecule: transfer RNA, 73 nt
Filed under: Arachidicoccus ginsenosidivorans
Lineage: Bacteria; Pseudomonadati; Bacteroidota; Chitinophagia; Chitinophagales; Chitinophagaceae
Also listed under: 2 other names
Description: Sphingobacteriaceae bacterium Gsoil 809 tRNA
Rfam family: tRNA
About the family: Transfer RNA (tRNA) molecules are approximately 80 nucleotides in length. Their secondary structure includes four short double-helical elements and three loops (D, anti-codon, and T loops). Further hydrogen bonds mediate the characteristic L-shaped molecular structure. tRNAs have two regions of fundamental functional importance: the anti-codon, which is responsible for specific mRNA codon recognition, and the 3' end, to which the tRNAs corresponding amino acid is attached (by aminoacyl-tRNA synthetases). tRNAs cope with the degeneracy of the genetic code in two manners: having more than one tRNA (with a specific anti-codon) for a particular amino acid; and 'wobble' base-pairing, i.e. permitting non-standard base-pairing at the 3rd anti-codon position.
Source: Rfam by way of RNAcentral